This 403-nucleotide ribosomal RNA is filed under the name uncultured bacterium. RNAcentral's name for it is "bacterial SSU rRNA". It matches the Rfam family "Bacterial small subunit ribosomal RNA", at positions 355 to 775 of the family's 1533-position model. The record is from RNAcentral.
UGGGGAAUCUUGCACAAUGGGGGAAACCCUGAUGCAGCGACGCCGCGUGAGCGAUGAAGCCCUUCGGGGUGUAAAGCUCUUUCGGCAGGGAAGAUUAUGACGGUACCUGCAGAAGCAGCUGCGGCUAACUACGUGCCAGCAGCCGCGGUAAUACGUAGGCAGCAAGCGUUGUUCGGAGUUACUGGGCGUAAAGGGUGUGUAGGCGGCCCCCUAAGUUUGGUGUGAAAUCUCCCGGCUUAACCGGGAGGGUGCGCCGAAGACUGGAGGGCUAGAGUGCGGGAUGGGAGAGUGGAAUUCCUGGUGUAGCGGUGAAAUGCGUAGAUAUCAGGAGGAACACCUGUGGUGUAGACGGCUCUCUGGACCGCAACUGACGCUGAGACACGAAAGCGUGGGUAGCAAACAG